This 471-nucleotide ribosomal RNA is filed under the name uncultured bacterium. Its description in RNAcentral is "bacterial SSU rRNA". It matches the Rfam family "Bacterial small subunit ribosomal RNA", at positions 21 to 518 of the family's 1533-position model. The record is from RNAcentral.
GGCUCAGGAUUAACGCUGGCGGCGUGCCUAAUACAUGCAAGUCGGAUGGUAGCAAUACCAUGGCGAACGGGUGAGUAACACGUAGGUAACCUGUCAUUAAGACGAGAAUAACCAUUGGAAACGAUGGAUAAUGCUGGAUAGGAUAUUUGAGGGCAUCCUUAGAUAUUUAAAGAUUUAUCACUUAAUGAGGGGCCUGCGGCGCAUUAGCUAGUUGGAAAGGUAAAAGCUUACCAAGGCGAUGAUGCGUAGCCGGACUGAGAGGUUGAACGGCCACAAUGGAACUGAGAACGGUCCAUACUCCUACGGGAGGCAGCAGUAGGGAAUUUUCGGCAAUGGGCGGAAGCCUGACCGAGCAAACCGCCGCGUGAUCGAUGAAGUAUUUCGGUAUGUAAAGAUCUUUUAUUAGGGAAGAAAAGACAGAUUGACGGUACCUAAUGAAUAAGCUCCGGCUAACUACGUGCCAGCAGCGGC